CGCGGCCUAUCAGCUUGUUGGUGGGGUAAUGGCCUACCAAGGCGACGACGGGUAGCUGGCGUGAGAGCGUGGCCAGCCACACUGGGACUGAGACACGGCCUAGACUCCUACGGGAGGCAGCAGUGGGGAAUCUUGCGCAAUGGGCGAAAGCCUGACGCAGCGACGCCGCGUGAGGGAUGAAGGCCCUCGGGUUGUAAACCUCUUUCGGCAGGGAAGAAGCGAAAGUGACGGUACCUGCAGAAGAAGCCCCGGCCAACUACGUGCCAGCAGCCGCGGUAAGACGUAGUGGGCGAGCGUUGUCCGGAUUUAUUGGGCGUAAAGCGCGCGCAGGCGGUUCGGAAAGUCGGAUGUGAAAAUCCGGGGCUCAACCCCGGACCUGCACCCGAUACUCCCGGACUGGAGGCAGGUAGGGGAGAGCGGAAUUCCCGGUGUAGCGGUGAAAUGCGCAGAUAUCGGGAAGAACACCGGUGGCGAAGGCGGCUCUCUGGGCCUGUCCUGACGCUCAGGCGCGAAAGCUAGGGGAGCGAACAGGAUUAGAUACCCUGGUAGUCCUAGCCGUAAACGAUGGGUGCUAGGUGUGGGGCGGCGAUCGACCCGUUCCGUGCCGUAGCCAACGCAUUAAGCACCCCGCCUGGGGAGUACGG
Molecule: ribosomal RNA, 644 nt
Filed under: uncultured Actinomycetes bacterium
Lineage: Bacteria; Bacillati; Actinomycetota; Actinomycetes
Description: bacterial SSU rRNA
Rfam family: Bacterial small subunit ribosomal RNA
Source: RNAcentral